RNAcentral lists this ribosomal RNA (528 nucleotides) under Paenibacillus sp. Its description in RNAcentral is "bacterial SSU rRNA". It matches the Rfam family "Bacterial small subunit ribosomal RNA", at positions 897 to 1425 of the family's 1533-position model. Lineage: Bacteria; Bacillati; Bacillota; Bacilli; Caryophanales; Paenibacillaceae. The record is from RNAcentral.
AAACUCAAAGGAAUUGACGGGGACCCGCACAAGCAGUGGAGUAUGUGGUUUAAUUCGAAGCAACGCGAAGAACCUUACCAGGUCUUGACAUCCCUCUGACCGGUGUAGAGAUACACCUUUCCUUCGGGACAGAGGAGACAGGUGGUGCAUGGUUGUCGUCAGCUCGUGUCGUGAGAUGUUGGGUUAAGUCCCGCAACGAGCGCAACCCUUGAUCUUAGUUGCCAGCACUUCGGGUGGGCACUCUAAGGUGACUGCCGGUGACAAACCGGAGGAAGGUGGGGAUGACGUCAAAUCAUCAUGCCCCUUAUGACCUGGGCUACACACGUACUACAAUGGCCGGUACAACGGGCCGCGAAGCCGCGAGGUGGAGCUAAUCCUAAAAAGCCGGUCUCAGUUCGGAUUGCAGGCUGCAACUCGCCUGCAUGAAGUCGGAAUUGCUAGUAAUCGCGGAUCAGCAUGCCGCGGUGAAUACGUUCCCGGGUCUUGUACACACCGCCCGUCACACCACGAGAGUUUACAACACCCGAA